RNAcentral lists this ribosomal RNA (255 nucleotides) under uncultured bacterium. RNAcentral's name for it is "partial 16S ribosomal RNA". It matches the Rfam family "Bacterial small subunit ribosomal RNA", at positions 524 to 776 of the family's 1533-position model. The record is from RNAcentral.
UACGUAGGGUGCGAGCGUUAAUCGGAAUUACUGGGCGUAAAGCGUGCGUAGGCGGUUCCUCAAGUCCGUUGUGAAAGCCCCGGGCUCAACCUGGGAAUGGCAGUGGAAACUAGGGGACUUAGAAUCUGGCAGAGGGGGGUGGAACUCCACGUGUAGCAGUGAAAUGCGUAGAGAUGUGGAAGAACACCGAUGGCGAAGGCAGCCCCCUGGGCUGAGAUUGACGCUGAGGGCACGAAAGCGUGGGGAGCAAACAGG